Long non-coding RNA from Halichondria panicea, 2105 nucleotides. RefSeq lists it as uncharacterized. The transcript is spliced from 6 exons. The record is from RefSeq and is a predicted model, not a curated record. NCBI's taxonomy places the organism in Eukaryota, Metazoa, Porifera, Demospongiae, Suberitida, Halichondriidae.
UUAAGUACUUACAUCUAUAGAUUUAUGACUUCCAGCUAUCUCAUGUGGAGCUGCUCCUACAAUAUUAUUAUCAAUGGAUCAAUGACGUUUACCGGUACUAUAUAUACAUUUGGGGAAAUGGCCAAUUACAUUUGUGAUAUUGAUUUCUGAUAAUUACAUGUCAGGCAAAUCAAACUUGGGAGGCUGAACCUGUUUGCACAGUUGUCUCUUGUGGAGUGCCUCGAAUAUUGGAGAGACAGCUACUUACAGCUGCAAUAAUGGCUACCAUAUUUCUGGUUCAGCCGUAAUAAUCUGUCGGGCGAAUGGGAAGUGGAACGCUGAGCCAGAGUGCUUGCUUGCAGCUUUCUUGUGUGGUUUUCCUCCUGUUAUAUCUUCCAUGGAUCUCCUGGUAGACCAACUUCCGUAUACUAGAUGGUGGAACAACUACAUAUACCUGCGAUCAUGGAUUCAUCUUAAUCGGCUCGAGCAAAGUUACUUGCUUGUCGACUAGUAUGUGGACAACAUCACCUAAAUGCCAAACUAGGAAUACCUAACAAUGAAAUAAUCAUGAAAGUAUCAAACUGCUUGAGUGCAUAUACUGAUUGCAUCCAUUAUUUAUAAAUGCAGGUCCUCCCCCAGUCUACAUAUCGCUUUUCUCCACCAACUCCUUGUCUACUCUCCCAGAAAUCCCCCUAUACUCUGUGGGAGAGGGGAAGAACAGUUCCCUCGUCUGUCAUACCGGCCUGGCCGCCUGUUGCUCACAGCUGGAUUCAGGAGUGGAGGGUGGUCUAGGAGAGUGGCAUUAUCCAAACGGGACAGUCGUAAUGACAGAUAACUGCGGGAUGAUCUGUAUACAACUAAGGAACAGAAGACAGUCAGUUUGAAUCACAAGAAUGCUACCAAUGUUCCAGGUGGUGUGUACUGUUGCGUUGUGCCUACUACUCAAGGAAAGCAGUCUAUUUGUGCAAACUUAGGAGCCACUGAACUUCCAAGCAUUCAGCAGACUGACUAUACUGGGGCAUCUGCAGGAGGAACAGUCGCUAUAGUUGUUGUAAUUAUCGCUGUAACAACAGCUGUGCUUAUGCUUGUGCUGAGAUACCGUACCAAUCGCAAAAAAGCAAACCCAAGACCUGCUUCAUGUGAAUUAUCAUCUGUGGAAAGCUAUCAGCAAUGCGAAUUAAUUUUUCCUCGAGCCAUCGAUGAUUCUAAUUACGCAGAGAUUUAUCCACUGGCCGUUGUCAAGACAAAGUUUGAAUAUGUACCGUAUGUCAAACAUAAUGCCAGCGUUAAACCCCAGGAGACAGAUGUUGAUAAGAGCCUUGAAGAGGACCAGUGAGCUGACAUAUUACGUACAAGUAAUUACGAUACAGCUUAAAUAUGACACAAUGUACUUUUAUAGCUGCUCACCCUCUGUCAGUGUGUUGUUGCGUUCAUAUAGAAUUGUAUAUUAUGUUUUUAAUGAUCUUUACCAAAAUCAAGUGUUGUGUGAGGGUAAAGAUCAUUAAGUUUGAUCGUUUAUUAGCCAUAAAACAUUUUGUGGGUUGGCUCAGGGGUUGGCUAAGUUGCUCAAAGAAGGAGUGUUGAUAUUGGCAUGGUUCAAGUGAGGUCCACCACUAGACCUGCAACUAAUAGGUCCUUGAAUUGUUAUCUGUUUAUGAGAGGUUCUAUAGAGAGAAAGACUGCAUGAGAAGAAUAGUUGCUAUAGUGCGCAUAUGUGAGUUUAUUGUUAUAAUUAUUGUAGAGUAAGUGUUCUGAGCCCGUAAAGAUCAUUAAUUAAGUUACAAUGUAGAAUAUUGUAUAUAGUAUACUUUAUAAGUAGCAGCUUACAUACCUAUCAUAAUUAUGUGUCUAUAUAGUAUCUACACACAUUUUACGAACGCACACGCUCACCACUGCAAGUCCGGAUAUUCGCCUAACUAUCCUACCAGUACAAAUGUCUGUUUUUUGGACCCAGAGCUAAAAAGAUAAAGACUGCAUGAGAAAUAUGUUUCUUAUAUCAACCCAGUCAGCAGUCGAUCCUGACUCAAAUGUCUACUAUGAGAGCUGAGCCUUCAUGCACGACUGCACGCAUCUACAUGUACAAUGUUUACAAUGCUUACUAUACGUGCACUACUACACAGAUAAUU